RNAcentral lists this ribosomal RNA (599 nucleotides) under uncultured bacterium. RNAcentral describes it as "bacterial SSU rRNA". It matches the Rfam family "Bacterial small subunit ribosomal RNA", at positions 144 to 755 of the family's 1533-position model. The record is from RNAcentral.
UAGCCACGGGAGACUGUGGGUAAUGCCGGAUAAUAUCUGCGGAUCAAAGGUGUGAUUCCGCCUCGGGAGCGGACUGCGUCCUACUAGCUUGUUGGUGGGGUAAUGGCCCACCAAGGCAAUGAUGGGUAGCGGGCGUGAGAGCGUGGCCCGUCUCACUGGGACUGAGACACUGCCCAGACACCUACGGGUGGCUGCAGUCGAGAAUCUUCGGCAAUGCGCGCAAGCGUGACCGAGCGACGCCGCGUGCGGGAUGAAGGCCCUCGGGUUGUAAACCGCGAAAGUAGGGAGGAAGUGCUAGAGGGUUCUCUCUCUAGUUUGACCUAUCUACAGUAAGGACGGGCUAAGUUCGUGCCAGCAGCCGCGGUAAUACGAACCGUCCAAACGUUAUUCGGAAUCACUGGGCUUAAAGGGUACGUAGGCGGCGCUGUCAGUCGGGUGUGAAAUCCCAGGGCUCAACCCUGGAACUGCGCCCGAUACUGCAGUGCUUGAGGGAGACAGAGGUAAGCGGAACUGAUGGUGGAGCGGUGAAAUGCGUUGAUAUCAUCAGGAACACCGGUGGCGAAAGCGGCUUACUGGGUCUCUUCUGACGCUGAGGUACG